This 72-nucleotide transfer RNA is filed under the name Ovis aries (sheep). It matches the Rfam family "tRNA". From Rfam's summary of the family: Transfer RNA (tRNA) molecules are approximately 80 nucleotides in length. Their secondary structure includes four short double-helical elements and three loops (D, anti-codon, and T loops). Lineage: Eukaryota; Metazoa; Chordata; Mammalia; Artiodactyla; Bovidae. The record is from Rfam by way of RNAcentral.
UCCCCAGUGGCUCAGAGGUUAAAGCAUCUGCCUGCAAUGCAGGAGACCUAAGUUCGAUCCCUGGGUCGAGAA